AACGAACGCUGGCGGCAGGCCUAACACAUGCAAGUCGAACGCUGUAGCAAUACAGAGUGGCAGACGGGUGAGUAACGCGUGGGAACGUGCCCUUUGGUUCGGAAUAACCCAGGGAAACUUGGGCUAAUACCGGAUACGUCCGUAAGGAGAAAGAUUUAUCGCCAAAGGAUCGGCCCGCGUCGGAUUAGCUAGUUGGUGAGGUAAAGGCUCACCAAGGCGACGAUCCGUAGCUGGUCUGAGAGGAUGACCAGCCACACUGGGACUGAGACACGGCCCAGACUCCUACGGGAGGCAGCAGUGAGGAAUAUUGGACAAUGGGCGCAAGCCUGAUCCAGCCAUGCCGCGUGAGUGAAGAAGGCCUUAGGGUUGUAAAGCUCUUUCAGCGGGAAGAUAAUGACGGUACCGCAGAAGAAGCCCCGGCUAACUCCGUGCCAGCCGCCGCCGUAAG
RNAcentral lists this ribosomal RNA (448 nucleotides) under uncultured bacterium. RNAcentral describes it as "bacterial SSU rRNA". It matches the Rfam family "Bacterial small subunit ribosomal RNA", at positions 29 to 524 of the family's 1533-position model. The record is from RNAcentral.